Small nuclear RNA from Cercocebus atys (sooty mangabey), 104 nucleotides. NCBI's taxonomy places the organism in Eukaryota, Metazoa, Chordata, Mammalia, Primates, Cercopithecidae. The record is from Ensembl.
GUGCUUGCUUCGACAGCACAUAUACUAAAAUUUGAACAAUACAGAGAUAAACGUGACCCCUGCACAAAAAUGACACACAAGUUCGUGAAGCAUUCCAUAUAAAA